Small nuclear RNA from Manis pentadactyla (Chinese pangolin), 187 nucleotides. RefSeq annotates it as U2 spliceosomal RNA. The record is from RefSeq and is a predicted model, not a curated record. The transcript has a single exon. Lineage: Eukaryota; Metazoa; Chordata; Mammalia; Pholidota; Manidae.
GUUUCUUCUCUGCCUAUUAGCUAAAAUCAAAUGUAGUAUCUAUUACGCCAAUUAAAACAUCUGAUGUGUUCUCUGUAUACUGGGCAUUGAGGUAAUGAUCAGGAUUAGGAGAUGAAUCCGGAGCUUGCUCUGUCUAUUCCAUGCCACAGCUUAGAAUUGCAUUACUUCCAGGAUUGGUGUAUUUCUU